This 460-nucleotide ribosomal RNA is filed under the name uncultured bacterium. RNAcentral's name for it is "partial 16S ribosomal RNA". It matches the Rfam family "Bacterial small subunit ribosomal RNA", at positions 28 to 507 of the family's 1533-position model. The record is from RNAcentral.
GACGAACGCUGGCGGCGUGCUUAACACAUGCAAGUCGAGCGGUAAGGCCUCUUCGGGGGUACACGAGCGGCGAACGGGGGAGUAACACGUGGGUGACCUGCCCUCAGCUCUGGGAUAAGCCUGGGAAACUGGGUCUAAUACCGGGGAUGACCGUUCCUCGCAUGGGGUUUGGGGGAAAGUUUUUUCGGCUGGGGAUGGGCCCGCGGCCUAUCAGCUUGUUGGUGGGGUGAUGGCCUACCAAGGCGACGACGGGUAGCCGGCCUGGGGGGGCGACCGGCCACCCUGGGGCUGAGGCCCGGCCCAGACUCCUACGGGGGGGAGGCGUGGGGGAUAUUGCGCCAUGGGCGGAAGCCUGACGCCGCGACGCCGCGUGGGGGAUGACGGCCUUCGGGUUGUAAACCUCUUUCGACCCCGACGAAUUUGGACGGUGGGGGUAGAAGAAGCACCGGCCAACUACGUG